UACGUAGGGUGCAAGCGUUGUCCGGAAUUAUUGGGCGUAAAGAGCUCGUAGGCGGUUUGUCGCGUCUGCUGUGAAAGUCCGAGGCUCAACCUCGGAUCUGCAGUGGGUACGGGCAGACUAGAGUGUGGUAGGGGGAGACUGGAAUUCCUGGUGUAGCGGUGGAAUGCGCAGAUAUCAGGAGGAACACCAAUGGCGAAGGCAGGUCUCUGGGCCACAACUGACGCUGGAGGAGCGAAAGCAUGGGGAGCGAACAGG
Molecule: ribosomal RNA, 255 nt
Filed under: uncultured bacterium
Lineage: Bacteria
Description: partial 16S ribosomal RNA
Rfam family: Bacterial small subunit ribosomal RNA
Source: RNAcentral